This 402-nucleotide ribosomal RNA is filed under the name uncultured bacterium. RNAcentral describes it as "bacterial SSU rRNA". It matches the Rfam family "Bacterial small subunit ribosomal RNA", at positions 355 to 774 of the family's 1533-position model. The record is from RNAcentral.
UGGGGAAUAUUGGACAAUGGGGGCAACCCUGAUCCAGCCAUGCCGCGUGAGUGGUGAAGGCCUUCGGGUUGUAAAGCUCUUUUGGCGGGGACGAUGAUGACGGUACCCGCAGAAUAAGCCCCGGCUAACUUCGUGCCAGCAGCCGCGGUAAGACGAAGGGGGCAAGCGUUGUUCGGAAUUACUGGGCGUAAAGGGCGCGUAGGCGGUUUGCUUAGUCAGGCGUGAAAGCCCUGGGCUUAACCUGGGAUGUGCGCUUGAUACUGGCAGGCUUGAGUGUGGGAGAGGUUGGUGGAAUUCCCAGUGUAGAGGUGAAAUUCGUAGAUAUUGGGAAGAACACCGGUGGCGAAGGCGGCCAACUGGACCACAACUGACGCUGAGGCGCGAAAGCGUGGGGAGCAAACA